Long non-coding RNA from Gopherus flavomarginatus (Mexican gopher tortoise), 186 nucleotides. RefSeq lists it as uncharacterized. The transcript has 3 exons. The record is from RefSeq and is a predicted model, not a curated record. NCBI's taxonomy places the organism in Eukaryota, Metazoa, Chordata, Testudines, Testudinidae.
GUCUUAUUAGAAUUGCUUACACAGAGCUCCUGAAGAACAAGUCUUCUGAUGAUUACAAGAAGCUGGAGAAAGAAGUGAAGUUAACUCUAAACAAGAUGUUAUCCAGCUAUGAGAACUUUCUCAAAGCAAACAUUCUCCAGUUCUUGAAUGGCUCCAUUAUUGUUGAGAGUGAGGUUCUAUUCCAGA